RNAcentral lists this transfer RNA (64 nucleotides) under Tchangsinaia piscicula. RNAcentral describes it as "tRNA-Leu". Lineage: Eukaryota; Metazoa; Mollusca; Bivalvia; Unionida; Unionidae. The record is from RNAcentral.
UUGAGAAGUGGCAGAACAAUGCCUUGGGCCUAAGACCCAAUAAUGAGGUAUUCCUCCUUCUUUA